CUACGGGGCGCUCCAGGCGAGGAACUUUUACAAUGCGCGCAAGCGUGAUAAAAUAAACCAGAGUGUUAAUCUUAGAUUAACUUUUGCCUGAUGUAAAAAGUCAGGCGAAUAAGGACUGGGCAAGACCGGUGCCAGCCGCCGCGGUAAUACCGGCGGUCCGAGUCGCAUCCACAUUUAUUGGGUCUAAAACAUUCGUAGCUUGUUUUGUAAGUCUCUUGUGAAAUCUCAUAUCUCAAAUAUGAGGCGGGCAAGAGAUACUGCAUUGCUAGAGACCGGAAGACGUAAGGAGUACAAUUGAGGUAGCGGUAAAAUGUGUUAAUCUUGAUUGGACUAACAAUGGCGAAGGCACCUUACGAGUACGGAUCUGACAGUGAGGGAUGAAGGCCAGGGGCGCAAAACGGAUUAGAUACCCGGGUAGUC
This 420-nucleotide ribosomal RNA is filed under the name uncultured archaeon. RNAcentral describes it as "partial 16S ribosomal RNA". It matches the Rfam family "Archaeal small subunit ribosomal RNA", at positions 323 to 746 of the family's 1478-position model. The record is from RNAcentral.